RNAcentral lists this ribosomal RNA (253 nucleotides) under uncultured bacterium. RNAcentral describes it as "partial 16S ribosomal RNA". It matches the Rfam family "Bacterial small subunit ribosomal RNA", at positions 524 to 776 of the family's 1533-position model. The record is from RNAcentral.
UACAGAGGUGGCAAGCGUUGUUCGGAAUUACUGGGCGUAAAGGGCGCGUAGGCGGCUCGACAAGUCCCGCGUGAAAGCCCCCGGCUCAACUGGGGAACUGCGCGGGAAACUGUCGGACUUGAGUUCGGGAGAGGGAAGCGGAAUUCCGGGUGUAGCGGUGAAAUGCGUAGAUAUCCGGAGGAAUACCGGUGGUGUAGACGGCUCUCUGGACCGCAACUGACGCUGAAACACGAAAGCGUGGGUAGCAAACAGG